Molecule: long non-coding RNA, 1610 nt
Filed under: Homo sapiens (human)
Lineage: Eukaryota; Metazoa; Chordata; Mammalia; Primates; Hominidae
Description: HSALNT0359703
Source: RNAcentral
ACUCACCAGGACAGGCACAGCCCACUGACAUCUUCACAUCGCCCGCCUCUGGGGGCCCAGCCGAGUCACGGUGCCCGCCCCUCGCGGGGACAGGCCGGGCAUGAGCCGCCGCCGCCGCCCGCGGCCCCCGCUGCGCUCGCCGCCGGCCCGGCCCGGCCUCGGCCCGGUGCGGGCGGCCCCUGGCUGCGGCGAGGGGCCUGUCAGGCGCGGAGCAGACAGGAAGGAAGCCAGGCAGGAAGGCGAGCGGCCUCUGCGUGUGUGCGCGCGGGUGUGAGUCCGCGGAGUGUGUGUCCGUGUGUGCGUGUGUGCGCGUGUGCGUGUGCGUGUCUGUGCGCUCCCGCCGCCGUCGCCGAGCGCCCCCCUCUCCGCCCUCGCGCUCGCGCUCCCUCGCGCCGGCGCCGGCUCCCCAGCCCAAGCCGGGCAGGGCCGGGCUUUAUUAAUAUGCUAAUUGUCCUGCUAGUGGGAGGGGAGAGCCGUGUCAAAGUGACCCGGGAGAGCGCGCAGCAAGCGACGACGUGCGUGCGCCGCGCGGCGGGCGGGCGGCGAGGGGCUGGGAGCGCUCGGGGAACGGCAUGCAUGUGACGCAGCUUUUAAAAAAGGAGACGGAGGCAGAGACCCCAGAGAGGGAGGGCGAAGGGGAGGGCUUGGAGGCGCAGCCGCGCGCUCGGUGUCCGUCCUCCGGGUGCCGCCGGAUGGGGAGUCUGGCUGAGCCGGAGCGGGAGCCGCGGCUGGGGGAGGCGGAGCCGGGGUGGGCAGUGUGGUGUAUCUCUCUCCACCCCGGGCCGCGCUCCGGGAGGGAAAAGGGACUGCAGACCCCCUGUCCGUGCUCCCUGCUGAGACGCCAGCCUUCUUCUGGAGGCCCCUUGUUUCGCGUCCCUACCCUAGGCUGGAUGGGUUUUUGCUGAGGGAGCAUGAAAUGAUGGAACGGUGCAGAGUCCAGGGAUUGAAAAGAAGGCCUGCCUAGGAAUGGAGACCCUCCCCACCAUGUGCUUAGGAUGGGGGAUAGGGGAGCUUGUACACUGUGGAGUCUCCCACCCCCAGGUUUCCCCAUCUCCACCCCCACCAGGAGCAGAGAGGACCUGACUGAAGCCAUCCACACUCACACAAGUAUUUCCUUGGCAGCAUCCCCUGCCUGAGUGCACCCCCUCCCUGCAUUCUCCCAGACAAAGGUCAGCACUAGAGGGAGUAGAGAGAACAUAAGGCAACAGAACACUGGCCCGAAAUUGUGGAUACCUAGGUUUGAACGCAAGAUUCGCUCCUCAAUACCUGAGUGAUUUGAGACAACUGACCACCCCACCUGGGACACUAGCUUUAUCCUCUGUAACCUAUGGCUUGGCCUUUUACACUUGCCGACUCAUUUACCUUUCAUGAGGACCUUUGGAAGAAGGUGCUAUUACCUCCAUUGAACAAGUAGGAAAACUGAAGUUCAGAGAUGAUAAUAAAUUUGAACUUGCCUGUAAAACACUGUUCUCCCUCUUCUUCACCUACUAGUUAAUGCUUCCUUAACACCUUAGUUCUAGCUUCACCUUCUCUGGGAAGAUUACCCUUCCCACUCCCACUGACACUAUAGCCCAGUUACCGGUAAGGAAAUACCAUCUCAGUACUGUUGA